RNAcentral lists this ribosomal RNA (515 nucleotides) under uncultured bacterium. RNAcentral describes it as "partial 16S ribosomal RNA". It matches the Rfam family "Bacterial small subunit ribosomal RNA", at positions 28 to 523 of the family's 1533-position model. The record is from RNAcentral.
GAUGAACGCUGGCGGCGUGCCUAAUACAUGCAAGUCGAGCGAAUGGAUUAAGAGCUUGCUCUUAUGAAGUUAGCGGCGGACGGGUGAGUAACACGUGGGUAACCUGCCCAUAAGACUGGGAUAACUCCGGGCAACCGGGGCUAAUACCGGAUAACAUUUUGAACCGCAUGGUUCGAAAUUGAAAGGCGGCUUCGGCUGUCACUUAUGGAUGGACCCGCGUCGCAUUAGCUAGUUGGUGAGGUAACGGCUCACCAAGGCAACGAUGCGUAGCCGUACUGAGAGGGUGAGCAGCCAAACUGGGACUGAGACACGGGCCAGACUCCUACGGGAGGCAGCAGUAGGGAAUCUGCCGCAAUGGAGGAAAGUCUAACGGAGCAACGCCGCGUGAGUGAUGAAGGCUUUCGGGUCGUAAAACUCUGUUGUUAGGGAAGAACAAGUGCUAGUUGAAUAAGCUGGCACCUUGACGGUACCUAACCAGAAAGCCACGGCUAACUACGUGCCAGCAGCCGCCGUAA